AAGAAGCCUGCUGUGUUUGUGGUCAGGUCGUGGUGAGGUGAGAUGCUAACUUGAAAAACAAAAAGAAAAGGAAUCCCAUUUGGAGCCAAGCUGAAGCCACACAGGAGCAACUCAGCAAUACAUAAUGCAAAGGAUUCCAGUGGAUUUGCAAGCAGGAGGAUAAAAUAAGACAGAAAACAGUAGAGAAAAUUCUGGCAUUUCCAUGGAUAUUGACCUUUUAUUCAUGCUACUGCAGGAAUAAUAAUGGUCAGGAACCGGUAAUGUUUAGCUGAAAUCACCGCAUUGCACUUCACAGCUUCCAGUGGAUCCACUGAGGCUUUGGAGAGCUGCUCUUGCUGGACCAGAGUGCUGGCUCCAGGCUGGGUUUCCCACCCAUGAAGGAAAAAAAUGGGCUGAGGAAGGAAAUAAGGCAAUAAAGAACAAGAAAGAUCCAAUUAAUCCCCCAAGAAGAAACAGGAC
RNAcentral lists this long non-coding RNA (459 nucleotides) under Numida meleagris (helmeted guineafowl). RNAcentral's name for it is "lncRNA (ENSNMEG00000011534.1)". Lineage: Eukaryota; Metazoa; Chordata; Aves; Galliformes; Numididae. The record is from RNAcentral.